CAGAAAAUAGUUUAUAUAAAAUAUUAAUUUUGGAGAUUAAAGAAGUAACUUUUUCUUUUCUGA
This 63-nucleotide transfer RNA is filed under the name Passalidae sp. GENSP02. Its description in RNAcentral is "tRNA-Pro". Lineage: Eukaryota; Metazoa; Arthropoda; Insecta; Coleoptera; Passalidae. The record is from RNAcentral.